CUACGGGAUGCUGCAGUGAGGAAUAUUGCACAAUGGGCGAAAGCCUGAUGCAGCAACGCCGCGUGGGUGAUGAAGGCCUUCGGGUUGUAAAACCCUUUUCUGGGGGACGAGGAAGGACGGUACCUCAGGAAUAAGCCUCGGCCAACUACGUGCCAGCAGCCGCGGUAAAACGUAGGAGGCGAGCGUUAUUCGGAUUUACUGGGCGUAAAGCGCGUGCAGGCGGUUCUGUAAGUUGGAGGUUAAAUCUCUCGGCUCAACUGAGAGGCGUCCUUCAAAACUGCAGGGCUUGAGGAUGGGAGAGGGAAGUGGAAUUCCCGGUGUAGUGGUGGAAUGCGUAGAUAUCGGGAGGAACACCAGUGGCGAAGGCGGCUUCCUGGCCCAUACCUGACGCUAAGACGCGAAAGCGUGGGGAGCGAACGGGAUUAGAUACCCCGGUAGUC
RNAcentral lists this ribosomal RNA (440 nucleotides) under uncultured bacterium. RNAcentral's name for it is "partial 16S ribosomal RNA". It matches the Rfam family "Bacterial small subunit ribosomal RNA", at positions 339 to 795 of the family's 1533-position model. The record is from RNAcentral.